AUAACCCUAAAAAAUCUCCUCAUUUCUUUUCAAAAAUCAAGCAAGUAAAUUUUUAUAUUCUCAAUUAAUUCUUUCAAGCAAUGAUUUCUGACUAUUCACGUAAUCAAUUCAUCAUUGAAUCAGCCACACUACCACAAUAACAAAUUUUCAAAAAUUAUUAAAAAUUCAAGAAUUCAAAUUUAGAUAAAUAAAGGUUCAAAUUUAUUUUUAUGUAGUUUUUUUUUUAAUUUAAAAGUCAAAAUUAUUAUAAAAAUAUGAAACAAAAAAUAGAAAACGGUGG
RNAcentral lists this long non-coding RNA (280 nucleotides) under Gossypium raimondii (Peruvian cotton). RNAcentral describes it as "long non-coding RNA (GRAI_LNC007341)". The record is from RNAcentral. Lineage: Eukaryota; Viridiplantae; Streptophyta; Magnoliopsida; Malvales; Malvaceae.